AGCUGCCGCCGCCAUUCCUUUCCCAACCCAUUUGAAUUCAGAACCUUCUGAGCUCAAAGAAGCGUAUUACGACGAUCCUACCUCUCAGUAAAUGGCUUCAACGUCUUUGCUUCAAGGUCAAAGACAUUGCCGGAGUAUGGUGAGGUCGAUGAUGGUGGAUUGGAAGAGGAAGAGGAUGAUGACCCGGUUUUCGUCUUAACAGACGAGUGGAAGGAGUUUUUCGCAAAAUCUGGAGCCAAGAGGAAACUAGAGAAGCAGCAGGCCAAGAAGAAUCUUACAUGAUAGGUUACUUACAACGGAAUCUUUCUGAUUUAUACAACAUUAUUGCACUUCCAGUAGGGUGAAAGAUCCAUUGAUAGAGUUCUUCAUACAUUGAAAGGCGAUGGUUU
Molecule: long non-coding RNA, 389 nt
Organism: Pyrus x bretschneideri (Chinese white pear)
Lineage: Eukaryota; Viridiplantae; Streptophyta; Magnoliopsida; Rosales; Rosaceae
Exons: 3
Source: RefSeq, a predicted model, not a curated record